This 301-nucleotide ribosomal RNA is filed under the name uncultured bacterium. RNAcentral's name for it is "partial 16S ribosomal RNA". It matches the Rfam family "Bacterial small subunit ribosomal RNA", at positions 509 to 807 of the family's 1533-position model. The record is from RNAcentral.
CAGUCGCCACGGUAAUACGAAGGGUGCAAGCGUUAAUCGGAAUUACUGGGCGUACAGCGUGCGUAGGCGGUGAGUUAAGUCUGCUGUGAAAUCCCCGGGCUCAACCUGGGAAUGGCAGUGGAUACUGGCUCGCUAGAGUGUGUCAGAGGAUGGUGGAAUUCCCGGUGUAGCGGUGAAAUGCGUAGAGAUCGGGAGGAACAUCAGUGGCGAAGGCGGCCAUCUGGGACAACACUGACGCUGAGGCACGAAAGCGUGGGGAGCAAACAGGAUUAGAUACCCCAGUAGUCCCUGUCUCUUAUAC